GGCCAGUUAGCUCAGUGAGUUGAGUGUGGCGCUGACAAUGCCAAGGUUGCAGGUUCAAUUCCCGUUUGGUCC
Molecule: non-coding RNA, 72 nt
Organism: Apaloderma vittatum (bar-tailed trogon)
Lineage: Eukaryota; Metazoa; Chordata; Aves; Trogoniformes; Trogonidae
Source: Rfam